CCAUUUUAUAUCGCAGCGAGAGAGAGAUAGAGAGAGACGGGCGUCGCCGAGGCUUCACUUACUUUCACGCUCCCUUGUUAAUUACUCCUCCACCUCCUCCACCACCUUCUUCAACUUCUCCGACGCAGAAGAAGAAGGCGACGACGACGACGACGGUCCAAACAUUCUCGGCGUAAAGCAGCAGGGAGCGGAGGGGCAGCGAGCCGACAUGGUGAAGAUCUUCGUGGGGAACCUGCCGCGCCCGACCACGGCCGAGGAGAUCCGCGCUCUCUUCGAGAAAUACGGUGACGUCAGCGAGUGUGACCUCAUCAAGAACUAUGGGUUUGUGCACAUGGACAACAAGGAGGCGGCGAAGGAGGCGAUCGAGCACCUGCACCACUACAAGCUGCACGGGGUCACCAUCAAUGUGGAGGCCAGCAAGAGCAUGACCAAGUCGUCCACCAAGCUACACGUGGGAAAGGUCAGCCCGCUCUGCACCAGCCAGGAUCUGCAGGCCAAGUUCGAGGAGUACGGGGCCGUGCUCGAGUGCGACAUCAUCAAGGACUACGCCUUCGUGCACAUGGAGAGGGGCGACGACGCCAUGGCCGCCAUCAAGGGGCUCGACGGCACCCAACUCAAAGGCAAGCGGAUCCACGUGGAGCUGUCCAAGAGCCGGCUGCGGGUGCAGCCAGGCAUGGGGGAGAAGAACACCUGCUUCCGCUGCGGAAAGGAUGGCCACUGGUCCAAGGAGUGUCCGACGGACCGUUCCGACGUGGGCAUGAGCAUUCCUGCCCACUACCUUGACGCUUACACCAUGUCGGGCCGGUACGGGGAGCAGGCGUUCUACGAUAGCCGCUACGUGGACUACUACGAGAAGUACCGGGCGGGGGCGUACGGGGCGGUGGGCACUCCCUACCCGGACCGCUGGGGCGCCCAACUGGGGGGCUACGGCGCCAGCCUGCGGGAGCGCAAGGCCCUGGAGGCCUACGGGCAGAGUGCCAUCUCCCAGCCGCCCACCUACUACGCCCGCGACCGCAGCCCGCUGCGCCGCUCCGUGGUCUCCAACGUCACCGACUACGCCACGGCGGCCACCGAGUAUGCGGCGGCAGCCACCGCCUCGGCCACGGCCAGCGACUACGCUGCCCAGGCCGCCAGCUACGCCGCCCAGGACUACGCCGGGGCCGGAUAUGCCGGAUACGCUGCCCAGUCGGCUGCCGCAGACUACGCCGGCGGCAGCUACACGGCCGCAGACUACGCCGGCGCCUACGGCUACGACUACUCCGGGGCAGCCUCCAACAGCGCGGGUUACGGCGCUGCCGGAGCCACCGCAGACGCCUACGUGGGACAGGCGCAGUACUCUGCCUACUAAUCACAGGAAGGAGAGGAGAAUGCAGGAGCUUCCCUGCCCCCACACACCUGCACUGUCGGACGGUGCCUCUCCUCCCACUGGCCGGGCUCGCUCCAGGUCUCCUCCCCGGCCAAACCCGCCUCCUGCUUCGAUAUCCCGUCUGCACCACUUUGUACAGACCUAUUUCUAACUUGUGUAUCCACCUACCUGCCUGCCUGCUGGAGAAACCAGCUCCUGUAGCCACCAGCGGAGACUGAACAGUAGCAACUCUCAGACUAGCUUCAGGUUGCGUCAUGUGUCGCCAUCCCCAGCAGCGCCGAGACUCGAGAGAUGGAAGUGCAGUUAGAGUGCGGAGGGGCCUGAAUCCGGCCUGGUGCUACCUGCUCCACCUGUGACAGACAUAGAGCUGGCUGGCUGUCGCCUGGAUGUGUUGAUCGCAGUCUGCAGUGUGAAGCUGCUUGUGUUUGCUGCCUCCUGGAGACAGAUUUGGUAAUACCUGUUGGUGAGACCGCGGCUGCUCCACACACAAACUCGGCUCGGACCUUGUGCAGAGUACCCACACCAUCGAGAUUUAGCACAGAGAACUCCGGGAACAAUACUAUCUGUAGAUGUGAAAUGUUGGUGUUUUUCUUUCAAAAAUACUAGCAGAAAAAAGUCGAUUUUCUUUCUAAUUCCCCCUCCCCCACCCACCCCAAUAUGAUCUGUGACUGUUCUGGGUUUUAUUUGAAGCUAUUUGUUACUCAUUUAAAAAAAAAUAAAGAUUUUUUUUUUGGUUUUCGUGUUGUUGGUAAAUGUUGUGUGGUGGUGGAAGUCUCUAUAAAAGGGAGCGACUCCUGAAUGUAGACCUGAUGGUGACCACAAAUCCCCCCCCCCCUCCCUGUAGCACCCUGCAAUAAACGAUGAGUAUUUGAACUGA
This is an RNA transcript of Amblyraja radiata (thorny skate), 2243 nucleotides long. It is a transcript of the gene named RNA-binding protein 4B-like, with no coding region annotated. Lineage: Eukaryota; Metazoa; Chordata; Chondrichthyes; Rajiformes; Rajidae. The record is from RefSeq and is a predicted model, not a curated record. The transcript has 8 exons.